This 474-nucleotide ribosomal RNA is filed under the name uncultured organism. RNAcentral describes it as "partial 16S ribosomal RNA". It matches the Rfam family "Bacterial small subunit ribosomal RNA", at positions 334 to 799 of the family's 1533-position model. The record is from RNAcentral.
CACUCCUACGGGAGGCAGCAGUGGGGAAUAUUGCACAAUGGGCGCAAGCCUGAUGCAGCCAUGCCGCGUGUAUGAAGAAGGCCUUCGGGUUGUAAAGUACUUUCAGCGGGGAGGAAGGCGAUAAGGUUAAUAACCUUGUUGAUUGACGUUACCCGCAGAAGAAGCACCGGCUAACUCCGUGCCAGCAGCCGCGGUAAUACGGAGGGUGCAAGCGUUAAUCGGAAUUACUGGGCGUAAAGCGCACGCAGGCGGUCUGUCAAGUCGGAUGUGAAAUCCCCGGGCUCAACCUGGGAACUGCAUUCGAAACUGGCAGGCUAGAGUCUUGUAGAGGGGGGUAGAAUUCCAGGUGUAGCGGUGAAAUGCGUAGAGAUCUGGAGGAAUACCGGUGGCGAAGGCGGCCCCCUGGACAAAGACUGACGCUCAGGUGCGAAAGCGUGGGGAGCAAACAGGAUUAGAAACCCGUGUAGUCCCAUG